AGGCGACCCCAGGUCAAGCGGGGCUACCCGCUGAGUU
This 37-nucleotide ribosomal RNA is filed under the name Metrosideros angustifolia. RNAcentral's name for it is "partial 28S ribosomal RNA". The record is from RNAcentral. Lineage: Eukaryota; Viridiplantae; Streptophyta; Magnoliopsida; Myrtales; Myrtaceae.